Molecule: transfer RNA, 131 nt
Filed under: Candidatus Bathyarchaeota archaeon
Lineage: Archaea; Thermoproteati; Candidatus Bathyarchaeota
Also listed under: 2 other names
Description: tRNA-Met
Rfam family: tRNA (bases 68-123)
Source: RNAcentral
AGCGGGGUGGGGUAGCCAGAUGGCGACUAGUGGCGCCCUGAAGUGUUUGAAGAACGCUACUGUCGCCAGGUAAAGAUUAACCCGCUGGGCUCAUAACCCAGAGAUCGGUCGUUCAAAUCGACCCCCCGCUA